Molecule: ribosomal RNA, 508 nt
Filed under: uncultured bacterium
Lineage: Bacteria
Description: bacterial SSU rRNA
Rfam family: Bacterial small subunit ribosomal RNA
Source: RNAcentral
CUAGGAUGAACGCUAGCUACAGGCUUAACACAUGCAAGUCGAGGGGCAGCAUGGUCUUAGCUUGCUAAGAUUGAUGGCGACCGGCGCACGGGUGAGUAGCGCGUAUCCAAACCUUCCCUAUAGUAGGGGAUAGCCCGUAGAAAUGCGGAUUAAUACCCUAUGUUGUAUUUCGAUGACAUCUGACGAAUACCAAAGGUUCACCGCUAUAGGAUGGGGGAUGCGUCUGAUUAGGUAGUCGGCGGGGUAACGGCCCACCGAGCCAACGAUCAGUAGGGGUUCUGAGAGGAAGGUCCCCCCACAUUGGAACUGAGACACGGUCCAAACUCCUACGGGAGGCAGCAGUGAGGAAUAUUGGUCAAUGGGCGAGAGCCUGAACCAGCCAAGUAGCGUGCAGGAUGACGGCCCUAUGGGUUGUAAACUGCUUUUAUGCGGGGAUAAAGUGAGGGACGUGUCCCUUAUUGUAGGUACCGCAUGAAUAAGGACCGGCUAAUUCCGUGCCAGCCGCCGC